Molecule: ribosomal RNA, 468 nt
Filed under: uncultured bacterium
Lineage: Bacteria
Description: partial 16S ribosomal RNA
Rfam family: Bacterial small subunit ribosomal RNA
Source: RNAcentral
GACGAACGCUGGCGGCGUGCUUAACACAUGCAAGUCGAACGGAAAGGCCCUGCUUUUGUGGGGUGCUCGAGUGGCGAACGGGUGAGUAACACGUGAGUAACCUGCCCUUGACUUUGGGAUAACUUCAGGAAACUGGGGCUAAUACCGGAUAGGAUCUCCUGCUGCAUGUUGGGGGUUGGAAAGUUUCGGCGGUUGGGGAUGGACUCGCGGCUUAUCAGCUUGUUGGUGGGGUAGUGGCUUACCAAGGCUUUGACGGGUAGCCGGCCUGAGAGGGUGAACGGCCACAUUGGGACUGAGAUACGGACCAGACUCGUACGGGAGGCAGAAGUGGGGAAUAUUGCACAAUGGGCGGAAGCCUGAUGCAGCAACGCCGCGUGCGGGAUGCCGUCCUUCGGGUUGUAAACCGCUUUCGCCUGUGACGAAGAGUGAGUGACGGUAAUGGGUAAAGAAGCACCGGCUAACUACGUG